This 476-nucleotide ribosomal RNA is filed under the name uncultured bacterium. Its description in RNAcentral is "partial 16S ribosomal RNA". It matches the Rfam family "Bacterial small subunit ribosomal RNA", at positions 28 to 523 of the family's 1533-position model. The record is from RNAcentral.
GACGAACGCUGGCGGCAUGCCUAACACAUGCAAGUCGAGCGAGCAGAUCCCUUCGGGGUGAAGCUAGCGGCGGACGGGUGAGUAACACGUGGGCAACCUACCUCAUAGAGGGGAAUAGCCUUCCGAAAGGAAGAUUAAUACCGCAUAAGAUUGUAGCUUCGCAUGAAGCAGCAAUUAAAGGAGCAAUCCGCUAUGAGAUGGGCCCGCGGCGCAUUAGCUAGUUGGUGAGGUAACGGCUCACCAAGGCGACGAUGCGUAGCCGACCUGAGAGGGUGAUCGGCCACAUUGGGACUGAGACACGGCCCAGACUCCUACGGGAGGCAGCAGUGGGGAAUAUUGCACAAUGGGGGAAACCCUGAUGCAGCAAUGCCGCGAGUGAUGACGGCCUUCGGGUUGUAAAGCUCUGUCUUCGGGGACGAUAAUGACGGUACCCGAGGAGGAAGCCACGGCUAACUACGUGCCAGCCGCCGCGGUAA